UGAUAGCUCAGUUGGUAAGAGCAUGGUGCUGAUAAAUGACAAGGUUGAAGGUUCGAUCCCCAUAUGGGACAG
Podarcis lilfordi (Lilford's wall lizard) is the source of this 72-nucleotide non-coding RNA. Lineage: Eukaryota; Metazoa; Chordata; Lepidosauria; Squamata; Lacertidae. The record is from the annotation of a GenBank genome assembly.